AGUGAACGCUGGCGGUAGGCCUAACACAUGCCAGUCGAACGGCAGCACAGUAAGAGCUUGCUCUUACGGGUGGCGAGUGGCGGACGGGUGAGGAAUACAUCGGAAUCUACUUUUUCGGGGGGGAUAACGUAGGGAAACUUACGCUAAUACCGCAUACGACCUACGGGUGAAAGCAGGGGAUCUUCGGACCUUGCGCGAUUGAAUGAGCCGAUGUCGGAUUAGCUAGUUGGCGGGGUAAAGGCCCACCAAGGCGACGAUCCGUAGCUGGUCUGAGAGGAUGAUCAGCCACACUGGAACUGAGACACGGUCCAGACUCCUACGGGAGGCAGCAGUGGGGAAUAUUGGACAAUGGGCGCAAGCCUGAUCCAGCCAUACCGCGUGGGUGAAGAAGGCCUUCGGGUUGUAAAGCCCUUUUGUUGGGAAAGAAAAGCAGCAGGUUAAUCCCCCGCUGUUCUGACGGUACCCAAAGAAUAAGCACCGGCUAACUUCGUG
This 492-nucleotide ribosomal RNA is filed under the name uncultured bacterium. Its description in RNAcentral is "partial 16S ribosomal RNA". It matches the Rfam family "Bacterial small subunit ribosomal RNA", at positions 29 to 507 of the family's 1533-position model. The record is from RNAcentral.